AGGCAUGUGGUUUAGUGGUAUAACAUUUGUUUAGCACUUCCUGCUUGUGAAAUGUCCGGUGUUCAAUUCGCCGCUUGUCCA
Transfer RNA from Sphaerobolus stellatus SS14, 81 nucleotides. It matches the Rfam family "tRNA". From Rfam's summary of the family: Transfer RNA (tRNA) molecules are approximately 80 nucleotides in length. Their secondary structure includes four short double-helical elements and three loops (D, anti-codon, and T loops). Further hydrogen bonds mediate the characteristic L-shaped molecular structure. tRNAs have two regions of fundamental functional importance: the anti-codon, which is responsible for specific mRNA codon recognition, and the 3' end, to which the tRNAs corresponding amino acid is attached (by aminoacyl-tRNA synthetases). tRNAs cope with the degeneracy of the genetic code in two manners: having more than one tRNA (with a specific anti-codon) for a particular amino acid; and 'wobble' base-pairing, i.e. permitting non-standard base-pairing at the 3rd anti-codon position. The record is from Rfam. Lineage: Eukaryota; Fungi; Basidiomycota; Agaricomycetes; Geastrales; Sphaerobolaceae.